Spea bombifrons (plains spadefoot toad) is the source of this 89-nucleotide small nucleolar RNA. RefSeq annotates it as small nucleolar RNA SNORD100. The record is from RefSeq and is a predicted model, not a curated record. NCBI's taxonomy places the organism in Eukaryota, Metazoa, Chordata, Amphibia, Anura, Pelobatidae. The transcript has a single exon.
UGUCAAGUAAAUGAUGACAAUUUGGCUCCCUCUACUGAAUGCUGUGAGGAGAAAAGCCUAGACGUUACCCAAGAAUGUCUGACUUGACA